CAUUGCUGUCCAAUCUUGUGAUCCUGCAGUGAAACAAAGCAUUCACAUGUCAUAAUUCAAAUUAAAAUAAUUAAAAUAAGAGGGAAACAAACCAGAAAAGAUCAAGGAAAUCAUGGAUUUUAAAAACUAGAGAGGAAUAUUUAUGAUAGAGCAGUCAAAUUCUUUGGCCUAAUACAUAAAUUUGCAAAUGAACUACUUAGGAAAAAAGCCUUUAAACCCAUGAUCAUUCAUUUCAACCAAUUGUACCGUUAUUCUUUUAUUUUGUCCAAUUACACCAUUAUGCUUUUCUUUUUGUAAUAACUAACAGGCAUGCUUAUGAAUUUUUGGUUCAUAUUCUUUCUCAGUCACGCUCAAAUUCGUCUUUGGUACAUUCCCAGUAUUCACAAAUACAAAAUCUUCUUGCCAUAAGUUGUUCAAAAUCGAAAACGACAAUAAUAAAAAAACAAGAAUUCCAAGUUAUGACACAAAUAUUUCUAAUCUUAAUACAAACUAAACAAAGUUUUCUUUUGUAAUCUUGGUAUAUCUUGAUAACAAGACAUGACACAAAUGAAAUCUAUCAAAUUAUUAAGGAAUGUAUUUUCCUCCUUACGGAACCAGAUUUGGGAAGAAAUAGACUGAAUGGAAAGUGUAAACGGAUAAAAUUUGUCAUUUCAUUUUUAAAUGUGUUACAAUGCUACUUCAGCUUACUUUUUUCAACUUUAUUUCAGUAGCAUCAGCAUGCGUAUAAGGACACAUAUUGCUAACUGGGGAUAUCAAACCUAUUGGUUACAUAAAAGAAUAAAGGAGUAAAAGGUCAAAACAGAAAAUCAAAGGUGUACUACGGACAAUUUUAUGUAUUAUGCCUUAUUCUUGGAACUUGCAAGCCUUAAACUCUCCCUCAACUUAUAUUAUUAACAAAAUUUUACACAGAAACUAAUUUAAUAUAUUUCUUAGUCUCAUAAAACCCUAAAAGCUUUUAUUAAAAAUUUUUAAUAACAUUAGAAUCAGAUUCAGAUUACUAAACUAUAUGAUAACAAAAUCACAAUAGGGAAGUGUACAUUUUCAUUGCAUAUUUCAGAAGUUCAUUCAAA
RNAcentral lists this unclassified non-coding RNA (1070 nucleotides) under Hevea brasiliensis (rubber tree). The record is from RNAcentral. Lineage: Eukaryota; Viridiplantae; Streptophyta; Magnoliopsida; Malpighiales; Euphorbiaceae.